This 1402-nucleotide long non-coding RNA is filed under the name Equus caballus (horse). RNAcentral's name for it is "lncRNA (ENSECAG00000056474.1)". Lineage: Eukaryota; Metazoa; Chordata; Mammalia; Perissodactyla; Equidae. The record is from RNAcentral.
CUGGAUAUCACCCUACGACACCUCACCAUCGAUAACCAUCAUGAUUCACCACUAAAGAGAGCAUCUAAUUCAACCCACAUUGGAAUCUUCCUUUGAGUCAUUUUCCUUAAAAGGGUUACAGCACUUCCAGCUCCAUUGAGCACUGGCAUAUCUUCUUUUAUUUAUUUUUUAGGUACAAUUUACGUACGGUAAAGUGCAUAAAUCUUAAGUGUUUUGCUUGAAGAAUUUUUACUUACAUGUAUACUCAUCACCACCUACCAGACGAAGAUACAGAACAUUUCCAACACUUCAGAAGCUUCUCUUAUGCCCAUUUCCAGUCUACACUGCUCCAAAGGGCCAAACAAACAAAUGAAACUCUGGACACCAGCUCUCUCUGAAGCCCUUCACCGUGAUCUUGUAAGAGUUGUCUGUAUGCACUGACCUCACUUUUCCAUCCAUCUCUCAGCCCACUGCAAACUGACUUCAGUUGAUAUCAUUCCAUGGAAACCGCUCUUGCCAAGACUUGCCUCCAAAUGACUUUUAUAUGUAACUGUAAGAGCAACAUUCAAUCAGAAAAGCAGAGCCACUAUAAGUGAUAGAGAACAAGGGAUUUAUUUUAUGGAUUAAACUUACAUCCUUGUGGGAGCUGGUGAAGAUGCAUGUUGCCUCUGCCUCUGGUGUGGGUCUGAGGUCUCUUUAGAGCAGCAGGGCCCACAGUCAGGAAGAAAAUCUGACAAGAAGUGUGGGAGAGUGAGGACAAACUGGAGCCCACAUGAGUCUCUCACUGCCACCAUCAUUGACGAUGCGCAUGACCUGCAGAAGCUUUGCUGCGGAGCUACACCUGUGUCUGGUAUCUGGCCCUGGAGUCAGAGAAGCUGGAGCAGCAAUGCAGUGGCAGCUCCUCUGAGCCCUGCUGCUGCCCCAGGCCCACAGGGGAGCCCCCUGGAGCAGCAGCAACAUGUGCAAACUGCAGUGACACCUGACACCCUCCACCAACCUUUCAGAGCAUUAUGCUGCUGAUUCAAUUCCACCUCCCACAUCUUGCCUGAAAAUUUCUUAUGACGAACCCUAACCCAGCACUGUACAGGGAAGGACAUUCUGGGAAAUGUAGUUCAGCUUAGUAAACUGACACAGCACGAUACCAGCCCAGUUAUAAAACUCAAGCUGAUCUCCAAGGGAGUGUUUGCCAUCAUUGAAAGAGUCGAAAACAAACGCCAAUAUAAAAGUUUCCGAAAACGUUGGGCACAAGGAUAGAAUCUUUGGAAUGAGUGACAAAUGCUUCCAAGAAGUUCUGAUUGACUUUAAAAAAGGACAACGUCAAUUUGAAUGCAUAACAUUCUGGUUUCUCCACAGGGAGGAAAAAUGAGUCAUAUUAUUUUAUAGCCAUUCCUUCUAUUUUCAUCACUUUUCCCCUAUGGUUCUC